GCCCAGCUUGCUGGGUGGAUUAGUGGCGAACGGGUGAGUAACACGUGAGUAACCUGCCCCUGACUCUGGGAUAAGCGUUGGAAACGACGUCUAAUACUGGAUACGACUGCCGGCCGCAUGGUCUGGUGGUGGAAAGAUUUUUUGGUUGGGGAUGGACUCGCGGCCUAUCAGCUUGUUGGUGAGGUAAUGGCUCACCAAGGCGACGACGGGUAGCCGGCCUGAGAGGGUGACCGGCCACACUGGGACUGAGACACGGCCCAGACUCCUACGGGAGGCAGCAGUGGGGAAUAUUGCACAAUGGGCGAAAGCCUGAUGCAGCAACGCCGCGUGAGGGAUGACGGCCUUCGGGUUGUAAACCUCUUUUAGUAGGGAAGAAGCGAAAGUGACGGUACCUGCAGAAAAAGCACCGGCUAACUACGUGCCAGCAGCCGCGGUAAUACGUAGGGUGCAAGCGUUGUCCGGAAUUAUUGGGCGUAAAGAGCUCGUAGGCGGUUUGUCGCGUCUGCUGUGAAAUCCCGAGGCUCAACCUCGGGCUUGCAGUGGGUACGGGCAGACUAGAGUGCGGUAGGGGAGAUUGGAAUUCCUGGUGUAGCGGUGGAAUGCGCAGAUAUCAGGAGGAACACCGAUGGCGAAGGCAGAUCUCUGGGCCGUAACUGACGCUGAGGAGCGAAAGCGUGGGGAGCGAACAGGAUUAGAUACCCUGGUAGUCCACGCCGUAAACGUUGGGCGCUAGAUGUAGGGACCUUUCCACGGUUUCUG
This 759-nucleotide ribosomal RNA is filed under the name Curtobacterium citreum. RNAcentral's name for it is "bacterial SSU rRNA". It matches the Rfam family "Bacterial small subunit ribosomal RNA", at positions 73 to 843 of the family's 1533-position model. The record is from RNAcentral. Lineage: Bacteria; Bacillati; Actinomycetota; Actinomycetes; Micrococcales; Microbacteriaceae.